RNAcentral lists this microRNA precursor (205 nucleotides) under Oryza sativa Japonica Group (Japanese rice). RNAcentral describes it as "MIR812 microRNA precursor family". It matches the Rfam family "MIR812 microRNA precursor family". The record is from Rfam by way of RNAcentral. Lineage: Eukaryota; Viridiplantae; Streptophyta; Magnoliopsida; Poales; Poaceae.
AAAAAGACAAACCCUGGUUUCCGUGUCCAACGUUUGACCAUUCGUUUUAUUUGAAAAAAUUAUGAAAAAAAUUAAAAAUACAAGUCACACAUAAAAUAUUAAUCAUAUUUUAUCAUCUAACAACAAUGAAAAUACGAAUUAUAAAAAAAUUUCAUAUAAGACGGACAGUCAAAGUUGGACACGGAAACCCAGGGUUUGCCUUUUU